CAACACAAUAGACAGAACGCAGAGUGAAUAACAGCUCAUUACAUUCAUUCUGCAUGUUGUGACUCCUCCCCUCCACCCAAGUGUGCACAGUCCAACACCACCAAAACAAGAGGAAACAUCAGUGAACUUACAAACAUCUCAGACUUACCGGACAGGACUGCGACUGAAGUGGCCGUCACUGUUACUGACAAACAAAACAACUAUAUCAUAACUGCCUUGGCAAAACAUGGUGUCCAAAACAGCAGAAUCACAAAGAAAACUAGAUAGGUACAUUUCCUGAAGAAAAUGUGAGUGGUGCUUGCCAUGGCAAAACUCGUCAAAUAGCAUGUUAUAGCUUGUUGCUAAGAACUAAAAUUAUGGUCCUAGAAUGUUGCUAGCAUGUGUUUUUCAUGAUGGUAGCAUGUAGGUGUUAUUUAUUUAGGUUUAUUGUAACUAUGCAAUGCUAACAUGUGUUAGCAUGAUGCUAACAAGUUGUCAUGUUUUAACACUUCGCUAGGCGAUGCUAGCAUGUGUUAUCAUGAUGCUAGCACAUAUUUAGCAUGUUUUAGCACUUCACUAGUUGAUGCUAACAUGUGUUAGCAUGAUGCUAGCACGUUUUUAGCAUGUUUUAACACUUUGCUAGGUGAUGCUAGCAUGUGUUAGCAUGAUGCUAGCACGUUUGGUAAGCACCACUAAUGACGGUGUAUGACAGGGUUCCCUCUUUUUUCAACCAAUGACUUGAAAGCUCAUUUCCACGCUCAAACAUUUAGUCUUUCCUCCUGAAAGUGGCACCAAAAUCAUAAUCACAAAUUGGUAAAACUACACUAUUGUUUGAGGAGUAAUCAUCAUAGAUACAGAAUGGGUUCUAAAAUGGGCGGGGUUUAGCGGCACACCCUUGUCUGUAAUUGGUCAGGAGUUCUAAACGAAAUGAUACAUUUUAUUUUCAACUCUUCACCACAACAGAACACCCGAUUAGCGUAAUAAACCAAAUAUGAAUGACUUUUCCAGGCCUGGAAAUCAUCAUUUGAAAAUUCCCUGAUAUUUCCAUGACUGUGGGAACCCUGUAAAUGUCCCAUUUGAGCUGUUGUCAAAACUAAACUAAAUAUAAAUAUAUACUUAUACAUACACAAUUCUGCACAAGUUGAACUGUGUGGAAAAUGCUGAUCAAAACAAACAUGAGUGAUUAGUAAAUUAUAAUCACCCUUUGCUAUGGGUGGGGAACGUAUAACCCCCGCAAGGACUUUUGAGAAAUCAUUUGAAAAGCAAAAAACGGCCUUGAUUCAAUAAACCUGGAAAAACAAAAAAUACUUUCAAAUAAUUUGAAAUGAAUAACUUGACACCAGUGGUGACACCAGGGCCAGUCAAGCCUUCUCUGUGAAUAACGCAAUAUUUUAAUGAUCGCUGCCAAUUUUAUUACAUUUUUUAGUUUUUUUACAUCCUGUUUAUAACGGACAAAUUAACUUAAACGCGCGUCUUCAGUGUCCAAACGCUUAAUAAGUGUUAGUGUUUCACAGUCGUAAACACACGACUGUCCCAACUUCACCGGAGCGUGUUCAUCGAUAAUAAUUCGGGAUGCACCGAAAUUUCGGACGGUGAAACUUUUCGGCCGAAAAUGGCACUUUCAGUUUUUGCCCAAAAGAGAAAAAAAAGGCCGAAAAUAUGUGCUCAGAUUUCACUCUGGAUCGAUCUAGCCCUCAUCACAGCGCUACCCAACAAAGGCCGAUCAUGUCUAGGAGUGAUGGUGGUGGUGUAGUGGUUAAAGCACAUAACCAGUAAUCAGAAGGUUGCUGGUUCGAUCCCCACAGUCACCACCAUUGUGUCCUUGAGUAAGACUCUUAACUCCAGGUUGCUCCGGGGGGAUUGUCCCUGUAAUAAGUGCUCUGUAUAAUACAUUGGUACUCAGAAGGUUGCUGGUUUGAUCCCCACAGUAACCACCAUUGUGUCCUUGAGUAAGACACUUAACUCCAGGUUGCUCCGGGGGGAUUGUCCCUGUAAUAAGUGCUCUGUAUAAUACAUUGGUACUCAUAAGGUUGCUGGUUUGAUCCCCACAUUCACCACCAUUGUGUCCUUGAGUAAGACACUUAACUCCAGGUUGCUCCGGGGGGGAUUGUCCCUGUAAUAAGUGCUCUGUAUAAUACAUUGGUACUCAGAAGGUUGCUGGUUUGAUCCCCACAGUAACCACCAUUGUGUCCUUGAGUAAGACACUUAACUCCAGGUUGCUCCGGGGGGAUUGUCCCUGUAAUAAGUGCACUGUAA
Molecule: long non-coding RNA, 2235 nt
Organism: Xyrauchen texanus (razorback sucker)
Lineage: Eukaryota; Metazoa; Chordata; Actinopteri; Cypriniformes; Catostomidae
Exons: 2
Source: RefSeq, a predicted model, not a curated record